This 1309-nucleotide long non-coding RNA is filed under the name Anser cygnoides (Swan goose). RNAcentral's name for it is "lncRNA (ENSACDG00005006919.1)". Lineage: Eukaryota; Metazoa; Chordata; Aves; Anseriformes; Anatidae. The record is from RNAcentral.
AUGAUUUAUACCAGCACAGGUCCACCGGUCUCACUGCACACUGCCUGCUCACACUUUCUUUCUGGCCCACACACUCCAGGCCACUUUGUUGGAAGGAUGCAGCACAGACCAUCCCUAUCCCCAUCCCCAUCCCCAUCCCCNNNNNNNNNNNNNNNNNNNNCGCGCACCCCGACCCUGACCUCACAAGGCUCCGCACCCUGGGGACGAUUCUGCUUCCAGGAGCCGCCCCGGUCCCGUGGGGCUCGGGGGGCUGCGGUGCCGGGGAUGGCGGCGUGCUGGGGGACCUGGACGGGGCGGCGCGUCCUGAGCGUGGCCACGGGCGCCGGGGCCGUCUACCUCCUCUACAGGACCGUGGCCGAGGCACUGAGCAGCGUGCCCGGCGGCACCGACCGCUACCGGCUGGAAAGCCCGGACCACCAGGACGGGCUGCCCGUGGAGGAGGUUCUGAGCAGGAGGGUCUGCGAGGAGCUGCUGGAAAUGCUGAGGGCGCAGCAGGACGGCCGGUCCCGCAGUGCCAUCCUGCGCAGCAUCACCCGCUGCGUCUACCUGAUGGACACGAAGGUGAAGGGCGCUGCGGGGACAGCACGAGGGCAGCCCCCUGUGCUCCGGGUUGCUGCGGUCCCCAUCCCCAUCCCCAUCCCCAUCCCCAUCCCACUGCAGCUGCAUCCCACCCUCUAACCCUGAGCAUAGGCCCGCUGCAGUUGAGGAGCUUUCAAGGGUGCGGAGGCCUACUUGCAUUGAUGUCACUCCCAAGAUCUUUUCUUAAAUUAACAAAUCAAAGAAAUGUUUUGGGUUUUUUUUUUAUAUUGUCCACAGCCCAUCCCUGGAAGGUGAAGGUAUAAGAAAAGUGCUGUUUGAGAAGUAAAUAGCCAUGUCACCAUAGUCUUUAACUGGAGGAUCAGACUCCUGUUCCUAAUGCAGAGAAACACACGCAUAGCUAUUGAACUCACUGUCAUCUUCCUUUAUUUCUAACUUUCUGGUCCAAUACAUGCACAAGUUUCCAGCCACCGCUCUCGCCUGACCUUCACUGUGUGACCGCUGCUCAGAGCUGGCUGUGCUGUGCCAUGCUGCCAGGUGCCUCCCAACCUCCCCAGCUGCACAAAAGCUGAUUUACUUGCCCUUUAAAAAAAAUCUGCUGCUAGACAUUUCUCCUUCUAAUUACCCAAACCUUUGUUUCCCUCCCGCUGCCUGAUAAGUGCUAUAUAUACCCACAGCUGCUGAGGUAUCUUCUUCCCGAUAGCAGGUGAAGAAGAUUCCUACCGCAGCACAUGCUCUAAAAAUCCUGAUCCGUUUUCUAAAGCCAUUUGAU